This is a long non-coding RNA of Mercenaria mercenaria, 1473 nucleotides long. RefSeq lists it as uncharacterized. The transcript is spliced from 4 exons. NCBI's taxonomy places the organism in Eukaryota, Metazoa, Mollusca, Bivalvia, Venerida, Veneridae. The record is from RefSeq and is a predicted model, not a curated record.
ACGUCAUAUGUUUUUUUACUUUCGUUUUCAACAAAAUGGCCGAUCGUCACAGUUAUUUUGAAGUGUCAAACAAGUUUGUGUCUUGGGGUUAAAAUAGAAUCAGUCAUUGUGAGAAAUUUUGAUUACACUUAAGAGCUGCCAGAGCUAAAACAGCUAAUAAAGAAGCUUUUGACAACUUCUUCUCAUGAUCUGCUUAAUUGAUCUUCACAUUGAAUUGUCAACCUGUGUGCUACAUUGUAUGACUUUGGGCAAAUAAAGAUUCUGUAAUCAGUGUUAUAACUUUCAUUAAACAAGAUGAAUCGGUGUUACAGAAAUGGAUAACUUACAGAAAUAAACAACUUCAGGCUUUCACAGAAACCACACAUUGUUUGUGACUAUGAAAAUGUUUACCUUCAUAAGGCCUAAUACAAUUCUUUGUUUCCGGUAACAUGCUCAACAAAAUUAGGGUAGGUAGGUCGGAAAUGGUUUUUUUUUUUUUUGGAAUUUUUUGUUAUUAAGGGAGACUUUUCAGAAAAUAUUUUUGUGUCAAAAAUGAAUACAAACAAGGGGGUUAUGUCUUUAGAGCAUCAGUAAGUUGAUUUUUUAACAUCACUGAGCAUGUUUAAAGCAUAAAAAGUUUUGCAAUUUUUUGCUUAAAAGUUGAAAAAUUUCUCCAAGGCCAUAAAAACAUUUAGGGUCGGCCCAAACAUUUAGGGUAGGUCGGGAUACCGAAAACAAACAAUUUUUUUACGUCUAGUGGAACUCAUACCACAAAGAAAAAAACUUUAUUUAUCUUAUUUCUUAUAACAAGUCCUCAAAGACAUACCCAAUUAAACUACAACAGGAAAGCGAACAAAGUUGAUUCAGGAUUUAAAAUGGAAAAAAAAUUGAGUGAAAACAGUGGACAAAAGGAAUUUAAUUACAAGGAUUUGAAUUAGUGUGUCAAGGAGUGAUUUGUUUUUAAUUCAUAACAUGAGUUAUUGACAAUGCUCUAAAAUAUAAAUAGAAUGUGUGAAUACAGGCUCUCAUUAAAAAGCUAUUGUAUAAUAUUACUUGACUUAUCAAAUAUCAUUUUGUCAAUUUUAUCACGGUACUUAUCACUGAUAAUAACUCUUUACAAUGUUUCAAGUACUCAUCAUCUUCAGCUAUUUUGAAAGAAUUACAGGGUUUAUAUUAUAUCAAAUGUGUUGUUAUUAGUCCCCUUACUUUUGAAAGUGAGUUUUCUUAAUACAUAUAGGAUUCUGCUGUAUCCGUCUGUCGGCCAGUCCAGUAAACAUUAACAAAACAAAAAAUGUCUAAGAAAUGAAAUAAAAAAUAAUAAUAACAAAACAAGUUAAAAGUUUGAAAACAUUUUAUUUGUUUUGUUAAUGAUUGCUUUUAAUUCAUUUUAGGAAGACAUUUUCAUGAACAUUUUCACUUUAAGUGAUAUAAACAAAACUCCAUUUUGUACAUGCCUUUAUUAUAUUAAAUUUAUAAAUAUAUCUGUUUACUAUC